This 1561-nucleotide long non-coding RNA is filed under the name Homo sapiens (human). RNAcentral's name for it is "mir-100-let-7a-2-mir-125b-1 cluster host gene, transcript variant 5 (MIR100HG)". Lineage: Eukaryota; Metazoa; Chordata; Mammalia; Primates; Hominidae. The record is from RNAcentral.
CCCACUUCGUGUCUACCAAAUGACAGCCUGGUGCUCGCUCUUGGUGAUUUGGCCUUGACUUCAGCCAAGCAGCUGAUGCAGACGAAGCCUCCGUUUGCAGGACUGGCAAAGUGCACGCUAAAGAAAGAAGGAAGAAAUUUUUCAAAAAGCAGCUCUGGGGAGGUUUCAUACUCCCCCCCCCCCCCCGCCUUUUUUUAAUUUUUAAGUGAAUAUUUUCCAAAUUUGAUCAGUUCCAGCCCCUCCCUCCACUCCCACCCAACUGCCCUUUUUUCUCUCGUCAAAGCAUAAGCUACAGAGUUACAGUCUCGAGAUUUGGUGUAUCGCUUCCUGCCCCCGCCUCCCCUCCCCGCCCCCGUUCUCCGUCCUCUAUUGAAACACCUCGCCCAGCCUAGCGCACUGAGAGCUCUCAUUUUCCCCCCUUGCUCGGGAUGGUGCCACAGGAGGCUGUGCGGGCCCCGCUCCGCUUCGAAUGGAUACAGUUAAGCUAAUGAUCUCGAGAGGAUAUCGUCCUGGAUAAGGGUGGAGCCUACGCCCAAAAACAAGAUUACCUGAAAGAGAAAAGAAAGGGGGAAAACACACAGAGAUACAGUCGGGGAGGCCACAUGAAGAUGGAGGCAGAGACAGGAGUGAUGAGCCUGCAAGCCAAGGAAUGCCAAGGGCUGCCAGCAGCCAUGAGAAGCUGAGAGACACAGAGAACGAGUCCUCUGCCAGAGCCUCCAGAAGGAACUAACCCUGUCAAUACCUUGAUUUCGGACUUCUGGACUCCAGAACUAUAACCCUCCUUCCUCCACCUCACAAAAACUCACAAGCUGCAACCCUUCUGAUGUCCACUCCCACACAAACCAGCUUCAGGCCUUUUUCAAGUGGAUGCUGUGGGGCACCACCUCCUUGAGGACCAAGGCACUCCAGCUGCCAGGAAUUUGGCUGCUAACCUCACACAGCUGAGCCUUCCAUGAAAAUUGCUCUCUGCCAAAGAGAACUUCCUAGUCCAAGGUCAUGUCUACUCUCCAGAGAUGUGACUGGAGUGAUUUGCACCCGGAUGCCUAGACUCGCCAUCUGCUCAAAGACUGCUCAGAAAGCCCUCCCAUGCAUUCCCCUGCUGCAUACCAGCCCACUCUGCCUGCAGCUGCUGUCUGCAGGACUUCAUAUCUAUGCCACACUGUGUAAAAGCUGUGCUUCAAGAAAUCACAAAAACAUUUUCCUGCACCUACUACACAGCCUGAGUGCGGCAUAAGUUGACCUUGCUUGCUAAGAAAUGGGGCAAGAAAUGCUUUUUUGUGUGUGUCAUGUCUGUUUGUUUUUCAAUUAAGAGAGGAAAGCAUUAGGCAGAUGGAAUGUACAUGUGAGGAUGAGGAGACAGAAAACAAGUAGCCCUUUCCAUCAAGAUAGAGGGUUUUCUGGGGUUGCUGGCUAUUGAAUGUCACUCCUGAUUUCUCUUUCCAAGGCACUGUACCACCAGCCUACUGAGAUUGUGUGGGAGCUUUCAUGGGGGUUGUAUUUCACUGAUGAAAAUAAAUUUUUUGCAUAAUGAAAAAAAAAAAAAAAAAAAAAAAAAAAAAAA